RNAcentral lists this ribosomal RNA (407 nucleotides) under uncultured bacterium. Its description in RNAcentral is "partial 16S ribosomal RNA". It matches the Rfam family "Bacterial small subunit ribosomal RNA", at positions 30 to 526 of the family's 1533-position model. The record is from RNAcentral.
AUUGAACGCUGGCGGCAGGCCUAACACAUGCAAGUCGAGCGGAGCGGCGGAGGGGUGCGUAAUGCCUAGGAAUCUGCCUGGUCGUGGGGGAUAAGGUCCGCUACCGGGCGCGAAUACUGCAAACUAUCGGAUGAGCCUAGUUCGGAUUAGCUAGGUGGUGGGGUAAGGGCCUACCAAGGCGACGACCCGUAACUGGUCUGAGAGGAUGAUCAGCCACACUGGAACUGAGACACGGCCCAGACUCCUACGGGAGGCAGCAGUGGGGAAUUUUGGGCAAUGGGCGAAAGCCUGAUCCAGCCAUGCCGCGUGUGUGAAGAAGGUCUUCGGAUUGUAAAGCACUGUUAUUAGGGAAGCGUUACCUACAGAGUAAGCACCGGCUAACUUCGUGCCAGCAGCCGCGGUAAUAC